Molecule: ribosomal RNA, 743 nt
Filed under: Escherichia coli
Lineage: Bacteria; Pseudomonadati; Pseudomonadota; Gammaproteobacteria; Enterobacterales; Enterobacteriaceae
Description: partial 23S ribosomal RNA
Rfam family: Bacterial large subunit ribosomal RNA
Source: RNAcentral
GGGGGGACCAUCCUCCAAGGCUAAAUACUCCUGACUGACCGAUAGUGAACCAGUACCGUGAGGGAAAGGCGAAAAGAACCCCGGCGAGGGGAGUGAAAAAGAACCUGAAACCGUGUACGUACAAGCAGUGGGAGCCUCUUUAUGGGGUGACUGCGUACCUUUUGUAUAAUGGGUCAGCGACUUAUAUUCUGUAGCAAGGUUAACCGAAUAGGGGAGCCGAAGGGAAACCGAGUCUUAACUGGGCGUUAAGUUGCAGGGUAUAGACCCGAAACCCGGUGAUCUAGCCAUGGGCAGGUUGAAGGUUGGGUAACACUAACUGGAGGACCGAACCGACUAAUGUUGAAAAAUUAGCGGAUGACUUGUGGCUGGGGGUGAAAGGCCAAUCAAACCGGGAGAUAGCUGGUUCUCCCCGAAAGCUAUUUAGGUAGCGCCUCGUGAAUUCAUCUCCGGGGGUAGAGCACUGUUUCGGCAAGGGGGUCAUCCCGACUUACCAACCCGAUGCAAACUGCGAAUACCGGAGAAUGUUAUCACGGGAGACACACGGCGGGUGCUAACGUCCGUCGUGAAGAGGGAAACAACCCAGACCGCCAGCUAAGGUCCCAAAGUCAUGGUUAAGUGGGAAACGAUGUGGGAAGGCCCAGACAGCCAGGAUGUUGGCUUAGAAGCAGCCAUCAUUUAAAGAAAGCGUAAUAGCUCACUGGUCGAGUCGGCCUGCGCGGAAGAUGUAACGGGGCUAAACCAUG